This 460-nucleotide ribosomal RNA is filed under the name uncultured bacterium. Its description in RNAcentral is "partial 16S ribosomal RNA". It matches the Rfam family "Bacterial small subunit ribosomal RNA", at positions 338 to 795 of the family's 1533-position model. The record is from RNAcentral.
CCUACGGGAGGCUGCAGUGAGGAAUAUUGGUCAAUGGGCGCGAGCCUGAACCAGCCAAGUAGCGUGAAGGAUGACUGCCCUCCGGGUUGUAAACUUCUUUUAUAAAGGAAUAAAGUGAGGCACGUGUGCCUCUUUGUAUGUACUUUAUGAAUAAGGAUAGGCUAACUCCGUGCCAGCAGCCGCGGUAAUCCGGAGGAUCCGAGCGUUAUCCGGAUUUAUUGGGUUUAAAGGGAGCGUAGGUGGGUUGUUAAGUCAGUUGUGAAAGUUUGCGGCUCAACCGUAAAAUUGCAAUUGAUACUGGCAGCCUUGAGUACAGUUGAGGUAGGCGGAAUUCGUGGUGUAGCAGUGAAAUGCUUAGAUAUCACGAAGAACACCGAUUGCGAAGGCAGCUUACUGGACUGCAACUGACGUUGAUGCUCGAAAGUGUGGGUAUCAAACAGGAUUAGAUACCCUAGUAGUC